Molecule: long non-coding RNA, 5798 nt
Filed under: Sus scrofa (pig)
Lineage: Eukaryota; Metazoa; Chordata; Mammalia; Artiodactyla; Suidae
Description: lncRNA (ENSSSCG00040039687.1)
Source: RNAcentral
UUCUAGGGCCGCUUCCCACAGCAUAUGGAGGUUCCCAGGCUAGGGGUCCAAUCAGAGCUGUAGCCACCGGCCUACGCCAGAGCCACAGCAACACAGGAUCCGAGCCGUGUCUGCAACCGACACCACAGCUCACGGCAACACUAGAUCCUUAACCCACUGAGCAAGGCCAGGGAUCGAACCCACAACCUCAUGGUUCCUAGUCGGAUUCAUUAACCACUGCACCAUGACAGGAACGCCAGGGGGUGACUUGGUUUUAAUGAGCCACUCAUUGACCUCUCAUGGCUGAACCGUGAAAUGCAUUUUCCAUCUCUCCUUCCUUUCUGGGUCCCUCAUCUUCUUCCAGUCUCUUUCUGAUUCCCACUAACCUGGGACCUCAUGGUGGCCCCAGUGGGAGCCACAGGGGAUUGGAGGCUGAGUUUGUCUCAGCAGAGAGGUGAGUGCCCCUUUGAUAAAAGACCAGCAGGCUCCCAUGGCUCUCCACAGAAAAGCCCCAAGACACAAACGCUGUGCACGGUUUCCUCAAAUAGAUGCCAGGCUUGUGGAUGCCAGGGACUGGGUCUUGGGAGCCACAAGGGGAUCUGUGACAAGUGGCCCGAGAGACUAGAACUGGAUCUGUUUUUCAAAGAGAGCAAUUCUCAAGUACCCAUUAUGUUCUGGGUGUUGUUGUAUCUUCACCGAAUCAUCGCAACAACCCUAUUUCACAGACAGGAAAACUGAGAACAUUUUCUAAACAGUGGUUUCUAUUCCCUCUAAAAAAACAAAAUGAGAAGAGAAGGCUUUAGGCACAAUUCAUGGAAAGGUCUAGUUCUGGAAAUACUGGGGUGGGGCUGGGGUGCCGUGCUCUGAUGUCACCCAACAGGCUCACUUUACAGAUGGGGAAACUGAAGCCCAGAGAGGUGCCUGGGCAGGUGGAGAGGCACGGCUGAGGGGCUGGAACCCUGUCUUCUGAAAGCACACAGAGUGCUGAGCAUCCCUGGCCAAGGCUGACAUCCAUUGCACACAGCCCAGAGAGGCGGCCAACAGAAGUAGUUCUACGCAAAACCUCCUGGUGCACAUAUACCUUAGGAAAUAAAGACUGUGGGUCUGGGGACUUGGUUCUGUCUCUUACUGGCAGCCUGGGGUGAACAACCCUUCUACACUCCAGCGUCCUCAUACAUAAAAUGGGAACAAUACAAAUACGUUUUCCCUUAAAGUAUUGUUGUGAGGAUUAAGUGAGAUGAUCCAUGUAAAAUGCUUAGCGCACCACAUGGUGCAUAUAAAGUGCUCAAGUAUUGUUGACUUGGGUUAUCUCGAUAGGCUAAAAAAGUGCUCUGGAUGCUUCUGUAACAACAUGAAGCAGAUGUAAGAUGCCUUUCCAAUGGCAUUUUAGGCCAACGCUGUUUUCUUCAGUUUAGAAUCUUCUGGGAAUAAGUUUAGAGGAAAUUUGCUUGCAUCAGAAUUUUUAGUCUUAAGGGAAAAACAGGUGAUGAUAUGAUGGGAAUAAAAAGGGUCACUGGGGCUCAAAACAUCUCUCAGUUAUUAGUUGUAUGGCCUUAGAAAUAACAGUAAUAAUGGUCAGCAGCCAACACUUAUUGAAUACUUUGUGCCAAGACCUUGUUCCGAUUUACAUAUAUAAUCCAUAUAUUUAUUGUCAUUAUUCAGAUCAUAUACUCCUUAAAUUUUUACCAUGACCCCUGUGAGGAAAGCAUCAGGUAUUUUCUUCAUUUAUCUCUCCCAGCCUCAGUUUCUCCAUCUGUGAGAUAGGCCAGUGCACAAUGGCCCACCCCAUGGGGUUCCCAUCCAACCCUCAUCCAUCCAUCAUUCAUCAACCAUCCAUCCAUCAUUCAUCCAUACAUGUAUGCAUCCAUCUGUUUAUCAGGAAUACCCAGAAGACAAAAUAUGUGAUGCUGCUUCUUAGACACAAAAUCCUAGAAAACGACAAGCUGGUCAGUGUACACACCACAGACCACACACUCGCCAUUCUUAGGAGCUCCAGCCACAGAGAAGGCCCUGUAGCUACUGCAGGAAGGACAUCCCAAUUCCAAGGUGUGGCACUUGCCCCAAGGGAAUAGCUGUUGACUCUUGAGAGCACACAUCUAGAAUAACAGGCAUGUCUUACUUUUCAACUCUCUUCCACAUGUCCUUUGCCUCAAAGGACUACUGUUCAAAAUCAGAAGGGAAAAUGUUUGUUCAGAAAUUAGCCCGGGUCCAUUUUAGUUUAGAUUUGUCCCUGUUGCUUUGUGCCAAAUGACCUGAAUCCUCCAAGAAAGUUACCAGAGAAAGAAAAUUCACUCUCAGAUGGGGACAAAGUUGAGGCAAAUAGUCCUUCAGGUUGGUAUGAUUUAUCCCUUGCAAGAGACAUGGCCGAUACAAGCAGCCAAAUCAGCAAAGUCAUUUUACAAAACCCACAAAGUGCUUACCAAAACACAGGCCAUUAAUUUCCCUUGGUGUUGAAUGGGCAAGACAGAGGACCUGGCUUGAUGAGGAGGGAGAAGACUGGAGAGAAGGGGACGUGGCCCAGAAAGGUAUCGUGGGGCCCUCAGUGAAGAAAGGCAAAGCGGAGGAUCAUGAAAGCCUCUCCCUUCACUGUUCCCAUGUGGAAACCACCUGGGCGGAUGCUCAUACUGCCACUACCCAGUGUGAGCGGCUGGGAAGGAGCGUGGGUCUGUGACUAGUGGGGGGGAUCCACUUUGAGCUCACAGAAUUGUUAGUGACAUUAAAUAAGAUAAACUGCUCCCAAAAUAGGAUAACUCGGUGUUCCCCAGACUUAGGGGUAUCCUGGGCCAGUAAAAUUAAAAAAAGCAAAACCCAAUCCAACAAAGAAACAAAAAACAUUAGGUAAAGCAAUCUAGUGUUGCCAAAUAGAAACAUUAAAAGAAAAAGAAAAGACCUUCCUCUAGCAUCAGCAUCAUAGAAGAAAGUCCAUUUUAGCACAGAAAGGGUGGGAAGGUUGAAAUCCCAGGACAAAGGGGCCUCCUCUUCUCUUAAGGCUAUGGAAAGCUCCCCACCACCAUCCAAUUUGCCUCGGACCAGAGAACCUUGCUGAGGACCAGCACUGGCCUCAUGUGGUUGCCAGGAAACCACUAAGAUGAAGUAGUUCGCACACGGAGGGAGUCUGGUGUCUAUUAGUGCCCUGCCUUGUUUGUCACACUCUGCUAUGCUGUUAAGGUAUUUGCUGCACAUUCUUCCCCUGGUGGUGGGCUUUGUGUGGGCAGCACUCAGGUGCUGGAUAGAGGAGGUGCUUAAUGAACGUGGAGUGAACUGGCGAAGAACAUUCUAGAGAGAGCAGACGCCAGUCCCAGAGAUCAUGCAGAGAUUAAAACUAAGGGAGGGGGCCAACCCCCUGCCUCCACAUACCAAACCACCCCUGCCACCUGCCACCUGCCACCUGCCACGCACAGAGGAUUCUAUCCUCAUACUGCAGAAGGGACACAAAGGCUCUGGGCACAAACUGCAAAAAAUAAUGUUCAUGUCAAAACAAUGGGAGCUUUCGUUUAGAAAGGGUAAAGCAGGAAAGGACCUGGGAGGGAGGUAACUCUCAGUUAUGACUAUUUAUCAUGCAGAAGAGGAUACACCUCUGAUUCUUGAAUGAGGCCCCUUUAAGAUCAAUUGGAGGUGCAACAUCCAAUCCACAGGGUGAGCCAAGGCUACUGUGGAACCUUGUAUCAUCAUCCUCUGACAAUUACUGAGCACUCACACAGUAUAACUAAGAUAAAUGCAUGAAUGGAUGAUGGAUGAAUAGAUAAACGAAUGCAUACAUGGAUGGGUGGAUGAACAGUUGGAUGGAUGAAUGAAUGAAGGAUGGUUGGAAGAAUAGAUGGAUGGAUGGAUGGAUGGGUGGGUACAAAGAUAGAGAAAAACAGAUAUAGCUAUAUAUCUCCACAUCUCAGUCUCUCCUUACAAAAACUACUACUUUCGCUAUUUUAUAGAUGAGGAAACUGAGGGUUCUGAAGUUUGUCACUUGAUCUAGUUACUCAAGUCACUUGAGCAACUUUGAACUCUCUACCUUUUGAUGAUUAAACUGUGUGAAGCACAUGCAUAAAACUCUUCUGGGAAUCACCCUCAGAGACAGAAGUGGCUUUGCACCUGCAGACAUCAAUACUGUAUGAAGAGAAAGAGAAGGGCAGCAAAAUCCACUCCUGGAGGAAAAUCAUUCACUUAAUUAUGGGAAAGGUCAUGGUCCGAUCAUUCUCACCUAGUUAUGAAUUAAAAGAUGCUCAAACCCAUUUUAGAAAAGGCUUUGGGAGUUCCCAUUGCGGCUCAGUGGUUAAGGAACCCAACCAGUAUCCAUGAAGAUGGGCAUUCAAUCCCUAGCCUCGCUCAGUGGGUUAAGGAUCUGGCAUUGCUGUGAGCUGCGUGGUAGGUUGCAGACGCAGCUCGGAUCCCGCACUGCUGUAGCUGUAGUGUAGACUGGCAGCUGUAGCUCUGAUUUGCCACCUAGACUGGAACCUCCAUAUGCCGCAGGUAUGGCCCUAAAAAGACCAAAAAAAAAAAAAAAAAGAAAGAAAGAAAGAAAAAGAAAAAAAGAAAAGAAAAGUUUUUGCUGAGUCUUUGCAGAAUUGUUGCCCCUGAGGCUUUCAGAAGGCCUGUUCCAGAUCUUCAGUUCUUUCUAACCAGAUGCUUUCAAGUCAAAAUAGGAAUGUUUCUUUUAGAAUAAGAAUGGAAACAGCACAGGCCUUGGGGUGGUGGUGGGGUGGGGAUUCUGGCUGAGCCACUUGCUGACUGUGUGAUCCCUGGAAGGUUCCUUAGCUUCCAGGAGGCUCAGAGUCUGAUCUGCAAAAUGCGGAUAGAGAGAUCUCUAUAUCACUGGACUGUUCAGAGAGCAACAUUCAUAAAUAAUCUCACAACAAGUCAUGCUGUGAAGGAAAGCUUCCUGGGCUUUGAGUACCAUGAGGCAGGCCCUUGGGGCUACCACAUUAGCCACUCUCCCCUUGCUGAUUCCCAGGACUCACAUGCUCCAGCAGCUGUAAGAGGACCAGACCAGCCACUGCAUCCAUCCAGGAGAGGGCCUUGGCCCCCUGGCUGCUCCAGCUGUGGUUUUUUUGACCCACUGCCAAGACACCUCUGUAGGGCCCUCAGGCUUUAUCUCAACAGCCUGUUCUAUUAGCACCCAACUCACAUUUAUUUCUCCUGGUCCUCCAUGCCAUUCCUCUGCCUGAAGCCUGAUACAAACAGCAGGAUGGGAAGUCCCCAAGAAGAUCCAUGAAAAUGAACUUCCACUUUUCAAAGAACUACCAUACCGAGUGCGGGUCCAUUCCCGUGAUGCAUGGGUCCAGUGCCAAAAGCCAGCAUGGGAAGUCACCAGAAAGUCGCCAUGGCCUCCCUGUGACUGUACUUACAAGGUGCUCAGCCCACAUCUGAUAAUCACGGAACCUGAUAUUUCCCUUCCUCUGACACUGAGGCAGAAGGAUGGAGAUUUUCCAUCUUCCCAUGUCUCGAGCAGAUGAACCCAGUGAAGUUAAAUUCCCCAGGAUCACACAGCAGCUCACACUCAAACCUCAAUACCCUGAGACCACAUUCAUCUGAGGAAAAAGGGGUGGUGGUGAUGGGUUUUCAUUACAUGUAACAGAUCCAACAUCAACAUAGGGUCAUGGGUUCCGGGAAAACGUCCCCAUGGAGUAUUUCUCUUAAUCUUCCAACAAUGCUACCUUCCUCCCCCCCCCCCCCCCCCGUAAGGUUGAGAAAAUUAAAGCUCAGAGAGGUCAUGCGACAGAAAGCAUGAAAGUCAAGAUUUGAACUCAGGCCAUUCUGACCCUCGUCUGUUUUACUGGCUGGCUCUUAGAAGAUUUUGAUGAAUCCUAUUCGGUUGGAGAGAGGGG